CCUACGGGUGACAGCAGUGAGGAAUAUUGGUCAAUGGACGCAAGUCUGAACCAGCCAUGCCGCGUGCAGGAAGACGGCUCUAUGAGUUGUAAACUGCUUUUGUACGAGGGUAAACGCAGAUACGCGUAUCUGUCUGAAAGUAUCGUACGAAUAAGGAUCGGCUAACUCCGUGCCAGCAGCCGCGGUAAUACGGAGGAUUCAAGCGUUAUCCGGAUUUAUUGGGUGUAAAGGGUGCGUAGGGGGUCGGAUAAGUUAGAGGUGAAAUCGCGGGGCUCAACUUCGGACUUGCCUCUGAUAAUGUCGGGAUAGAGAGUAGGUGAGGUAGGCGGAAUGUAUGGGGUAGCGGUGAAAUG
This 353-nucleotide ribosomal RNA is filed under the name uncultured bacterium. RNAcentral describes it as "partial 16S ribosomal RNA". It matches the Rfam family "Bacterial small subunit ribosomal RNA", at positions 338 to 688 of the family's 1533-position model. The record is from RNAcentral.